AUCUGUGAGCAGAAGUUUGUCUCCUGAUAAAUCGCCGAGUUGGCAGCCAGGCAGACAUUUAGAAAGUUUUAUUGUCUUCACCCGGGUGAUAGCUAAGAGCUGUUUGUGAUGAGUCAGAGCCUCCCUUCCAGCUGCGGCCGUGGGACUGAGUCCACUGUGCCAGGCCCUGGCCACCCUGGAGCGGAGGAGAGACCCUGCCCGGGCUGUGGGGAGCAGGACGCUGGAGAUGACUCACUCUGCUUUUCUAACAACAAUGACAAGAAAAACGGUUUGUUCUAAACCUCAUACUUCCUGAAUGUGUCACUUGGGGAAAUACAGCUAGCUGAUUGCAAACCCCAGUGAAGAGUCUCCGUGAAGGGUCGUGGCAGGAGAGAUAAAGACUCGUUGACUAGUGAACAGAGAAAGAGCUGGAGCGUCAUUCUGGCAUCCACAGUGCCAGGGAUCGAACCCAGGACCUCACCACGCAAGUCCUGCACUCUGCCGCUGUGUCCCCUCCCCGGCCACCCAGCUCAUCAGCCCUCAGCCCUGCCCGUCUGAAUACAACCCAGCGACUCAGCAGAGAGGGUGGAAAGUUGCCCACCCGGGACCAGGAAAUGGGAACAGAAGUCUCCAGAACACCACUGAUGCCCCCUGGAGCCCUGAGCAGACUCCUUCCCCUGCCUCAGUUUACCCAUUCCCGCAGCAAGAGGCUGAUCAGCCAAGAGAGUCACAUUCCAAGCUUUCUGCUCUUUCCACACAAACGCCGGGGAAUCCCGCUGGGGGAGUGAGACUCGCCCGGGAGGGGCCUGGGGCCUGAUGCCCAGGCACAGGCUCAGCAGGCCAGAGCUCCCCCAUCCUGUACUGGGGCCCCACCUCUCCACAGCCCUGGCAGGGAUGCCAGCGCUAGAGCCAAACCUUGGGGGAGAAUCAUAAAACGGUCACCAUCUGGGGGAGGCGGUCUGUACAUUCCAGAAACAGCCCCCAGCGGGUGAGUCACUGUUUCCACGUGGCAUUUCUAGAGGGGCCUCCCGGCAGGGCGGACUCAACUUCCUGUGAGGCAGUGGGACCCUCCCUUUGCCCUCUGCCACAGCCUUCCUCCCAGAUGUCCGUUUGCUUCCACACCCCUGGCCAUGGGGCCCAUGGAAAACACGUCUGUGUCCGCCUGGCCUUCCGUCCUGCUGCUGGGGCGCCCUCCCCACUCCGGGCUACUUCUCUGGGGCAGCAGAGGGCAGGCAGCACUGGGGCAGGGCCCCACGGCAGUUCAAGGAGAGUAAGGUGGCUCGGGGUGAGUUCCAGGACACACCUGCCCCUGAGGCCCUGGGUUCGAGCCCAGGGGCUGCAUGUGCUGUCGGGGCCGGCGAGGGGGUUCACUGGUCAUGCACCUGAACUGCUGUUUGAGCCCGGCCACCACCACCACACUGGGGGAACCUCUCCCCACCCCCUCUGCCCCCUUCAUAAAUAGAUAAAUAAAUAAACCUUAGGCUCCAGGGUUCUCUCGGGGGCUUGCUCCCACCACUACGAAUCCACUGCUCCUGGUGGCCAUUGUUUCCAUUUUAUUGGACGGAUAGAAACUGAGAGGGAAGAGGGAGGGAGGGAGAGAGAGAGACCUGCAGACUUGCUUCACUGCUUGUGAAGCUUCCCCUGCAGGUAGGGAGCCAGGAGUUUGAACCCGGAUCCUUGAGUGGGUGCUUGUGCUUAGUUCUGUGUGUGCUUGACGCAGUAGUGGCACACCUGUGCCCUAAACAAGCCUUUAGAGAGAGAAAGGAAAGCAACGAGAGAUUGUUUCUAAAAGCAUCAAACCGGUGCCGGGUGGUAGGUAGCACAGCCGGUUAAGCACACGUGGCUCGAAGCACAAGGACCAGCGUAAGGAUCCCGGUUCGAGCCCCCGGCUCCCCACCUGCAGGGGAGUCGCUUCACAGGCGGUGAAGCAGGUCUGCAGGUGUCUGUCUUUCUGC
Long non-coding RNA from Erinaceus europaeus (western European hedgehog), 1934 nucleotides. RefSeq lists it as uncharacterized. The record is from RefSeq and is a predicted model, not a curated record. NCBI's taxonomy places the organism in Eukaryota, Metazoa, Chordata, Mammalia, Eulipotyphla, Erinaceidae. The transcript is spliced from 3 exons.